ACUCCAUCUUGGUUGGGGUUUAAUAUUUCAAGACUGUGGAUCGUUUGGUUCCCCGCAUGAAGAACCCGACCAAAGCUCGCUUGUCCUCAUGGUCUCGAAGUGGAGCGCACGAAAGGAACCGCUCGGAUCAGGUCGGAGGGACUGAGCUCAGUCGCUGUGGGCGCGCAGCAUCAGUUGUGGCAGCAACACACGUUUGCCUUUAAAAAUGUACGUCAAGUCUUCUGCGGCAGACGCCGGCGGCUCCUUCGCGUUGACCUUUCUGGGAAAGAAAGUUGGACGACGUCACUCUGUGGCCCCUGCAGGCAAGAAAUCUGCCUGGGAGGGAAGCAACCCAUCCACCCGCCCAGAGGAUCCCACAGCGUCCCCAAAACCUGGACUGGUCCCUGUGACGGCACAGGACCCGGGUCUACCAGGAAGCGUGCCGCAGGUUCUGGAUGAGAGGCCCCAUCACCGAGACCACAGAACCAACUACACCGCAGGUCAGCGAUGCAUAGUGUCGCUUUAUUAAACUCACUAGCCCAGAAAAAAAAAUAUGACUAUUGACUAAAGUAAAAUUCUUAAUGUCUCCUCUUCUGAAAGAUAUUUCUGGAAACAAAGCUACACCAUGACGACAUGAUGUAUUUCCUGAUUGAGGAGGAAACAGUGACCAAAGACAAUAUUACAAAGAAACAUGAAACUGACUGAGAAGGCCAUUUCAUGCCCACAAUUAAUACAUAAUAAUAAUUACAUAAAAGAUAGAUAGAUAGAUAGAUAGAUAGAUAGAUAGAUAGAUAGAUAGAUAGAUAGAUAGAUAGAUAGAUAGAUAGAUAGAUAGAUAGAUAGAUAGAUAGAUUUUCUAUACACACAUUUUCUUAGCCGCUUAUCCUCACAAGGGUCGUGGAAGUGCUGGAGUCUAUCCCAGCCGUCAAUGAGAUUUCAGAUACGCCGAUACUUGCUAAGUUUUCACAGAUGUUACAAAUUUAUUGUCGUAUUCUAAUUGGAAUUAUGAAUAACUUUUCCCCUGCCUGACCUCUGUGCAGGCACUGUGUGUUCACUUCCCCCUCAAUGUGCCUUUUUUUUUUUUUAUUAUUAUUUCUAAUUUUUUUUUUAUGUACCCUUUGAGUGACUGACUGUGGACAAGUCGAGGCAAGAGUUGUGCGCCAAGCCCGAAAUUAGCCGGGACGUUCCAGCACGCCGCAAUCCCCGGAAAGGAUGAGUGGACGGCUGCGCACCAACAAGAAACGACUCCCUUCGUUACGGUGACUGAAGUUGCAACACUGCGACGGAUGAUUUAUCACAAUGUUAUGAUAUCUCACAGAUGGGAGAAAGAUACGAAGAUCGUGUGAACAAUGUAGUCCUGUUCUCGAGUCGACUGAUUGUAUUUUGGUUGCAUGUAUUACUCUGAGUGGUUUAGGUUCAGCUGAACCACAAACUUUAUUGGUAACGAUACCGUUUCUUUAAACGUGGUGGUGUCCAAACAUUUUCAUCCGAGGGCCACAUACAGAAAAUCAAUAGAUGCAGUUCUUCAAAAAUGAUCCUAAAAUAAUCAAUCAAGCAGUCAUCUAUCAUUUACAUUAUAUAUAAACAGUAUAUAAAUUGUUUAUAUAUAUAUGGUUUUGUUGAAAAACUUGGUGGGUAGAGAAGACAAAUAUACUCCCACAAGAGUGCAGUUAUUUUCAAAUAACAUGGCUCAAGUAAAAAGUAGUCAGAUAUCUAAGUAUUUACUUAAGUACCAUAUUUUCCGCACUAUAAGGCGCACCGCAUUAUAAGGCGCACCUUCAAUGACUGGCCUAUUUUAAAACUUUUUUUCAUAUAUAAGGCGCAUAGAAUAGACGCUACAGUAGAGGGUGGGGUUAUGUUAUGCAUCCAUUAGAUGGGCUGCGCUAAAGGCUCAAAAUUGAUCCAUAUAUAAGGCGCACCUGAUUAUAAGGCACACUCUCAUCUUUUGAGAAAAUUAAAGGCUCUUUGGUGCGGAAAAUAUGGUAUUCAAUGGGAAAAAAAACACUCAAGUAAAGAGUCAUUCGUGAGUAUGUUUAGGUGGAAGCAUGAACAUCAAAUUAUAUAUAUAAUAUAAUAAUAAUUUAUCAGUCAACACACACACACCUGCCAGCAUUUUCAAUUUUAGGCACCAAUAACGUGGACCCUACAGAAAUAUUAUUUCGCUUUAUUCACUUCACUUCACUGAAGAAGCCGUCUGUUGACUGGACCUGGUGAUUGUGAUUUUGUGUGUUUGUCUGUGCAUGUCGUGUUUAUUACACACCAUGCACUGAGUGUGUGGUUUGCACCAUUCACACAAAGCAGGCGUUACUUCAGGAAAUUGCAACAUUUACAAUUUGUGAAAAGGCGGGAGAAAGUUGAGUCCGAAAUCAAAAAUGUACCAUGCCAAAUAGCAUUGUUGUAGUAUGAUUCAGUUUUACAGUAUUCCAUUUCUGACGUUAUUGUUUAUUUAUAGGUGUUAAGUAGGUAAAAAUGUUAUACAUAGCGCUUAACAUUCAACAUUGAACCAAUAAUCACUGAGUGGCACAAUUGACCUCUCCGUAGAAAUUGCGUCAUCUGCGUCGCUGACCAAUCAGAGGCCAGAGAUCUACAUAAACCACGCCCCUUUUUUGACCUGCAGUUUCCUCAGACAACGUUGAAUGGUCCAAUAUAGCUUUUGUUAGCGUUUUAUCGCGUAUUUGGGUUCUUUAACAAUAGAUAUGGUUAAGAGGUGUAGUCACGGACUUUGUAAUAGUGACGACAGGUAUCCUGAAAGGCUAGUUGGUGGAGUUCAAUUCGUACCCUUUCCAAAACCGAAGACCCAGUACGAAAAAUGUCUUCGAUGGAUCAAACUUUGUGGAAGACCGCAUCAUCGACUGAAUCCAUCUAAAAUCAGCCGGAACAGAAGACAGAGUACGAAAAAUGUGUUCGAUGGAUCAAACUUUGUGGAAGACCGCAUAAUCAACUGAAUCCAUCAACCGGAACAGAUAUGUUUGCACGAAGGUAAGCCCUAAAUUUGAUUUUCAAUAAGUCUCAUAUAAAUGAAUUAGCAGUUCUUGGCUUGCAUAACAUAGCUAAGUGUGAAUGAUUGACGCACUUGAUCUGUGUUGAGCCAUAUUUUGCGAUGAUCUGACUGCACAAACGUGUCCCUUUGUUCGCGGCUAAUGAGCGAAGCCAAACCGGACUAGCAGUCCUAAAAGCCUUCGACGUGCACCGAGACACCAAGACUGAAGGAAGGAUGUUUGAGGACACUAAAGUAGUGAUUGUCGUACUCGGUCGGGACUUUCGUAGGUUCGGCACUAAUUCAAGAAUAAUUAUUGAGGGGAGCGCGUGACGUUACACAAAGAAAACGAGAGAAACAACUCGUAAAUCAAGCCUCGCCUUCUUUUCCUUCAUAAGGCGGUUCACAAACGGCUAUACAGAUACACAUACAGAUUCUGCACACAUGUGUGAUAGGUAACACGAAAAUAGGAAACUGUCAAUGACGAAUUCGUCUUGGGGUUAUAAUAUAUUAUAUUAUGUGGCUUCUCGGUCUUCCUCUGACUCCGGAAAGAUCUCGCGCUAAUAUCAAUGGUUUCUCCGUCGAUAUGCAUGGAAAUACCAUUGGAAUACCCCUCGCUGAAAUACUUGAAGCCCUGCUGUCUGCUUUUCAACGAUAUUUCACUGUUAGCUAAGAAUGCGAGUGAGAAAUCAGCCGGUAAAUGGGACAGUUUCGCUCUAUUCUUUUCUUGCUGCGCCGCCCUUUUUGCUAAUUGUUUGUCCUACGUAGACUCACGUGGUGUGACGUCACUUUAGGAGGCCUGGUCAAGUGCCCUGUACGGAGGGGUCAAUUGCUGCCAAUACAUGUUUAACUGUAGCUAUGGACAAAUUAUGGCUUACGGCCAUGCUGCCCUGAGAACGCCGAUCUCGGAAGCUAAGCGGGUUUGGCCCACUGAUCUAAAAAAAAAAAAAUAAGAUUGGGUGGCUCAUUGGCCACCAAAAGUAAAGUUUCCAUCCGCCAUCUUGAUACUCGCAAAACAACCAUGCCGACCUGUGCGUUCAUCGCCCGUUUCGUAGCUGGGAGAAAACAUUCCACAGGUAAAUUAGAAAGAUUUACUUUGACACUGAUAAAGUUUGUUUGUAAAGGUUUUUUUUAAUAGUCUGAUGAGCUCAAUUCAGUUGAACAAAGUUUUGUUUACAGUUGUUGUUGUUCACUGUUUACUCUCUGCUUCACCUUUACAGGCCGACGAUUUUUCACAAAAAAAGCGAUGUAAAUAUUUUCCCAAACUUCAUCAGCUGAUAAGCAAGAAAUCACAUUUUCUGUGAUUUUUUUUUUGAUGAAUUUCAUUAUACAGAACUCUGCAAAUGGAAGUUUAAAUUUUCAAUCUGAAAUAGGACGUCGCAGAGACAACAAAUAAACAAUGUGUUUAGCAUGUAUUUUUCCAUUGUGAGUCCUUAUUUCCAAAAACAUAUCUAACUGAUUGACUUAAAAUUGAAUGUUUUUAUGACAAAAAAAAUGCUCAUGUUUUUUGCUAUGUUAUGAUGAUAGUGCUUCAUACCGUAUUUGGGAAAAGUUAACAUGUAGCAGAAAUCGGGCCCGAGCUAACACGCAAGGUUUCUCAGUAGUCACUUUCCUUUGCGCUUAGCCUUUUUUGGCAUACCAGGACAAAUUAAAAAUCCUUCAUGCUACCGUAAUUUAAAAUAUGUCAAGGUCACGCGACCAGUUUUAAUUCCACGUGUCAAACUUUGAGGAAAUACCCAGUCAUAAUCCAAAUGUAAACCAUGUCCUCCACACGUUUUGGGAGUACCAAGAUGGCGACUAAGUGGCUUCAACCAAUCGACACACCGCUCGAUGUCUAUGCUCUACUCAUUCUUUUUUUUUUUUUUAUUAAUCAUAUUUGUUGACGCUUCGUAUGAUUGUGACGUGUUUGGGAUAGUGUCGGGUCUAUCAGAUCUCCACUAAAAGCUGAGGUACAUGCACGACGUCAAAUGAGCACACAAGAGGGCACUUUAUUUGAAAAGUAAUGAACGAAUCCAUAGUUGCGGGCUGAUUAUGGCCCGUGUUUGUUUGUUGCCUCGCGGUGAAUGCAAACAAAGAGGCGUUGUGUUCUCAGUCA
This is a long non-coding RNA of Syngnathoides biaculeatus (alligator pipefish), 5051 nucleotides long. RefSeq lists it as uncharacterized. NCBI's taxonomy places the organism in Eukaryota, Metazoa, Chordata, Actinopteri, Syngnathiformes, Syngnathidae. The record is from RefSeq and is a predicted model, not a curated record. The transcript has 3 exons.